Molecule: ribosomal RNA, 307 nt
Filed under: uncultured bacterium
Lineage: Bacteria
Description: partial 16S ribosomal RNA
Rfam family: Bacterial small subunit ribosomal RNA
Source: RNAcentral
AAAAAAAAAAAAAUAACCUUCCCUCAUCUCUGGGAUAACAGUCGGCAACGGUUACUAAUACUGGAUAUGAGCUUUCAAGGCAUCUUGUGGGUUGGAAAGCUUUGUUUGUUUGUGGAUUGACUCGCAGCCUAUCAGCUUGUUCGUGAGGUAGUGGCUCACCAAGGCUUCGACCGGUAGCCGGCCUGAGUGGGCGACCGGCAACAUUGGGACUGCGAUCCGGCCCAAACUCUUACUGGAGGCAGCAGUGGGGAAUAUUGCAAAAUGGACGGAAGUCUGAUGCAGCAACUCUGUUUUUUUUUUAAUGCUC